GAUGAAGAACGCAGCGAAAUGCGAUAAGUAAUGUGAAUUGCAGAAUUCAGUGAAUCAUCGAAUCUUUGAACGCACAUUGCGCUCUUUGGUAUUCCGGAGAGCAUGCCUGUUUGAGAAUCAGUAAAUUCAUCAACCCAAGGACUUUGGAAUUUAUUCCUCGGUCUGGAAGUUGGAUAUGGGCGUUUUGCUGCCUCUGGCAGCAAUAGCCUGAAAUUUAAUGUUACGCUCCUUUGGACUGAGAAGUCUCGGGCAAACGCAUGAAUGAGGCAACUCACAAAUACGUCAGCUCUUGAGAUUUAUCAAUUCUUGGUGGGGUGACUCAACUGAUUAACCAGGGUUUGUUGGUGUCAACCAGCUUAUUCUGAACACUUGGUCUCAAAUCAGGUAGGAAAACCCGCUGAACUUAAGCAUAUCAAUAAGCGGGAGGA
Molecule: unclassified non-coding RNA, 428 nt
Filed under: soil metagenome
Description: partial contains 5.8S ribosomal RNA, internal transcribed spacer 2, and large subunit ribosomal RNA
Rfam family: 5.8S ribosomal RNA (bases 1-120)
Source: RNAcentral